RNAcentral lists this ribosomal RNA (253 nucleotides) under uncultured bacterium. RNAcentral describes it as "partial 16S ribosomal RNA". It matches the Rfam family "Bacterial small subunit ribosomal RNA", at positions 524 to 776 of the family's 1533-position model. The record is from RNAcentral.
UACGUAGGGGGCGAGCGUUGUCCGGAAUCAUUGGGCGUAAAGCGCGUGUAGGCGGCCCGGUAAGUCCGCUGUGAAAGUCCAGGGCUCAACCCUGGGAUGCCGGUGGAUACUGUCGGGCUCGAGUCCGGAAGAGGAGUGUGGAAUUCCUGGUGUAGCGGUGAAAUGCGCAGAUAUCAGGAGGAACACCAAUGGCGAAGGCAGCACGCUGGGACGGGACUGACGCUGAGACGCGAAAGCGUGGGGAGCAAACAGG